This 255-nucleotide ribosomal RNA is filed under the name Escherichia coli. RNAcentral's name for it is "partial 16S ribosomal RNA". It matches the Rfam family "Bacterial small subunit ribosomal RNA", at positions 1137 to 1391 of the family's 1533-position model. Lineage: Bacteria; Pseudomonadati; Pseudomonadota; Gammaproteobacteria; Enterobacterales; Enterobacteriaceae. RNAcentral also lists the same sequence under 2 other names. The record is from RNAcentral.
ACUCAAAGGAGACUGCCAGUGAUAAACUGGAGGAAGGUGGGGAUGACGUCAAGUCAUCAUGGCCCUUACGACCAGGGCUACACACGUGCUACAAUGGCGCAUACAAAGAGAAGCGACCUCGCGAGAGCAAGCGGACCUCAUAAAGUGCGUCGUAGUCCGGAUUGGAGUCUGCAACUCGACUCCAUGAAGUCGGAAUCGCUAGUAAUCGUGGAUCAGAAUGCCACGGUGAAUACGUUCCCGGGCCUUGUACACACC